This is a non-coding RNA of Pantherophis guttatus, 496 nucleotides long. The record is from RefSeq and is a predicted model, not a curated record. NCBI's taxonomy places the organism in Eukaryota, Metazoa, Chordata, Lepidosauria, Squamata, Colubridae.
AACACACAUACACACACACAUACACAAAAAAAGGGGUCCUGGCCGGCGGAGGGAUACGGCUCCGUCGUCAUUUCCUUCGCCCCGCCGAGAGGAGCGCGGAUUGGCCGCUGCGCGUGACGUCACCGGCGGAGGGGCUCGCCCCGAGCGAGGCAGCUUGGUUGAAGUUUGUCUGAGGCUGACAAUUCUGAGGAGAUUUGGAGGGAAAAGAAAAAAUGGGGAAAUUCUGACCACGGGGUUCUGCUCUCCCCAGCUAGACAAUGGAGAGUCACACCAAAGGCAACCCUGGCCGAUGCAGAGCAGAAGCUGUCCAAUGUGAAGAAGCUUCUUGGAUGAGAAGUGAAACGUCUUCAAAGACAAACCAGAAAGUCCAGUUGCCUCUUGAAAAAAAAACACCUUUGGGACCGUCCAAUGUGUCUUAAUCUUGUGAUGAAAGAUGUGUACCUGAUUAUGUCAUACUCUUAUUAAACGUGCGACUCUUAUGAGACUGUUACACUGA